CAGGCUCGCGUGACAUUAGCUUGACGGCGGGGUAACGGCCCACCGUGGCGACGAUGUCUAGGGGUUCUGAGAGGAAGGUCCCCCACACUGGAACUGAGACACGGUCCAGACUCCUACGGGAGGCAGCAGUGAGGAAUAUUGGUCAAUGGCCGGAAGGCUGAACCAGCCAUGCCGCGUGAAGGUCAGUGCCCUAUGGGCGUUAAACUUCUUUUGUGCGGGAGCAAUAAGGUCCACGUGUGGACCGACGAGAGUACCGUACGAAUAAGCAUCGGCUAACUCCGUGCCAGCAGCCGCGGUAAUACGGGGGAUGCAAGCGUUAUCCGGAUUUAUUGGGUUUAAAGGGUGCGUAGGCUGUGAGGUAAGUCAGCGGUGAAAUGCCCCCGCUCAACGGGGUGAAGUGCCAUUGAUACUGCCUUGCUGGAAUGCGGAUGCCGUGGGAGGAAUGUGUGGUGUAGCGGUGAAAUGCAUAGAUAUCACACAGAACACCGAUUGCGAAGGCAUCUCACGAAUCCGCUAUUGACGCUGAUGCACGAAAGCGUGGGUAUCAAACAGGAUUAGAUACCCUGGUAGUCCACGCUGUAAACGAUGAUGACUAACCGUCGGCGAUACACAGUCG
This 616-nucleotide ribosomal RNA is filed under the name uncultured bacterium. RNAcentral's name for it is "bacterial SSU rRNA". It matches the Rfam family "Bacterial small subunit ribosomal RNA", at positions 226 to 839 of the family's 1533-position model. The record is from RNAcentral.